CAGUGGGGAAUAUUGCACAAUGGGCGCAAGCCUGAUGCAGCGACGCCGCGUGAGGGACGAAGGCCUUCGGGUUGUAAACCUCUUUCAGCAGGGAAGAAGCGAAAGUGACGGUACCUGCAGAAGAAGCGCCGGCUAACUACGUGCCAGCAGCCGCGGUAAUACGUAGGGCGCAAGCGUUGUCCGGAAUUAUUGGGCGUAAAGAGCUCGUAGGUGGUUUGUCGCGUCUGGUGUGAAAACUCAAGGCUCAACCUUGAGCUUGCAUUGGGUACGGGCAGACUAGAGUGCGGUAGGGGAGACUGGAAUUCCUGGUGUAGCGGUGGAAUGCGCAGAUAUCAGGAGGAACACCGAUGGCGAAGGCAGGUCUCUGGGCCGCAACUGACGCUGAGGAGCGAAAGCAUGGGGAGCGAACAGGAUUAGA
This 418-nucleotide ribosomal RNA is filed under the name uncultured bacterium. RNAcentral's name for it is "bacterial SSU rRNA". It matches the Rfam family "Bacterial small subunit ribosomal RNA", at positions 352 to 782 of the family's 1533-position model. The record is from RNAcentral.